Molecule: ribosomal RNA, 254 nt
Filed under: uncultured bacterium
Lineage: Bacteria
Description: partial 16S ribosomal RNA
Rfam family: Bacterial small subunit ribosomal RNA
Source: RNAcentral
UACGUAGGGGGCAAGCGUUGUCCGGAAUCAUUGGGCGUAAAGCGCGCGUAGGCGGCCCGGUAAGUCCGUUGUGAAAGUCAAAGGCUCAACCUUUGAAUGCCGAUGGAUACUGCCGGGCUCGAGUCCGGAAGAGGCGAGUGGAAUUCCUGGUGUAGCGGUGGAAUGCGCAGAUAUCAGGAGGAACACCAAUAGCGAAGGCAGCUCGCUGGGACGGUACUGACGCUAAGGCGCGAAAGCGUGGGGAGCGAACGAGG